This 497-nucleotide ribosomal RNA is filed under the name uncultured bacterium. RNAcentral's name for it is "bacterial SSU rRNA". It matches the Rfam family "Bacterial small subunit ribosomal RNA", at positions 28 to 533 of the family's 1533-position model. The record is from RNAcentral.
GACGAACGCUGGCGGCGUGCUUAAAACAUGCAAGUCGAACGGACUUCUCAUGAAGCUUGCGAUUGAGAAGUUAGUGGCGGACGGGUGAGUAACGCGUGGGCAACCUGCCCCUGAGCCCGGGAUAACAGUUCGAAAGGACUGCUAAGACCGGAUAUACUUGCGGGGAAGCAUUUCACUGCAAGGAAAGGGAACGCUCAGGGAUGGGCCCGCGUCCCAUUAGCUAGUUGGUGAGGUAACGGCCCACCAAGGCGACGAUGGGUAGCCGGCCUGAGAGGGUGAACGGCCACACUGGGACUGAGACACGGCCCAGACUCCUACGGGAGGCAGCAGUUGGGAAUCUUCGGCAAUGGGCGCAAGCCUGGACCGAGCAACGCCGCGUGAGUGAUGAAGGUUUUCGGAUUGUAAAGCUCUGUCUUCCGGGACGAUAAUGACGGUACCGGAGGAGGAAGCCACGGCUAACGUACGUGCCGAGCAGCCGACGGUAAACACUACUCGUA